Rhinolophus ferrumequinum (greater horseshoe bat) is the source of this 1273-nucleotide long non-coding RNA. RefSeq lists it as uncharacterized. The transcript is spliced from 6 exons. The record is from RefSeq and is a predicted model, not a curated record. NCBI's taxonomy places the organism in Eukaryota, Metazoa, Chordata, Mammalia, Chiroptera, Rhinolophidae.
CCAGAUCAUAUCUCUGGUUAACUGGGUAACCCUAUUUCCUUAAGAUUGUCAGAAUUCAAAAGAUAGCCCCACAAAAUUCCCAUCUCGUGGUUAUCAAACACUAAUCUAGAUACUACUUCACUCACCCAUCUAGAUACAGUUGUGAAGGGAUUUUACAGAGGCAAUUAAAGUCCCAAAUCAGUUUACUUUAAGAUAGGGAUAUUAUCCAGGUGGGCCUGCCCCAAUCAGGUGAGCCCUUUAAAAGAAUCGUUUUCCUCAGUUGGUAGCAGAAGAAGUAAAAGAAAUUCUAAAUGUGAGAAAGAUUGGACGGUGAUUGCUGGCUUUGAAAAUAGAGAAGACCUAUGAGAAAGAAUGUGUCUUCUUUCUCGAAGCUGAUGACGCUUGGCUGACAGCCAGAAAGCAAAGGGGGACCUCAGUGGUACACAAGGAACAGGGUUCUGCCGGCCGUGGGAAUGAACUUGGAAGCAGAUUCUGCCCCAGCUAUAUUUCCCUCUCUAAAAAACUUGACCUAAACUUUGUCAAAUAUAUUGAAAUUCAGCAAGCUACAUCCUGAUCUUGGGAAAAUUAUGAGAGAAGAGGCCAAAGAUGAUCAUACCUGUUUUAAAUAAAAUCGAUGACUGAGAUGAAAAUAAAACAAAAAAGUGGGGCAAGAACAUUCUGACCCUAAGUAAACAGACAUGAAUGGUGUAGCGCCUGCUAACCCAGAUUUCUCCUCUUGAGAAUGAGCUGCAAGCAAAGAAUGGAAAUUUCCAAUUGCAGCAUCAAGGGCUGCUGUUCUGCUGACUGUCUUGCUCAGCCAGGGUCAUCUGCUUCUCUAAGACAUCAAGGAAUGCCAAGGAAAAGGAAGAGGCAAUUUGCUUGGUGGCCUCCACCGGUGGCGUAGAGGACCUAACAAAGAUGGGCCUGGGCCGGGACUAGCUCCUACAAGCUUCCAGUUCUCAAUCUGAGGCGUAACAGAGCCCAAUAAGAAGUUGACAAGUCAAGAAUCAGCUCUUACAAGCAACCAUGUGUCUCUGCAGAGCUGUGCAAGGUUGGACCUGCAAGUACACGAUAAGACAAAACACAAAAUGGAGGAGCACACACUGGAUGGUCGAAGAGGAAAUGACUGCAGCUCAGUGUCUGGAGACCUGGGUAGUUGUACCCCUGCCCCCUUCAGCUGAGAGUAAGGUCUUCAGGAAGCACGAUAGUCCAACAUUGUGAGGCCAGCUAGACGAACAGGGAAGAUGCAAGACCAAGAAUUUUUAAAUUAUUGCUCUACAAGUAAAUGCAAAAG